This 253-nucleotide ribosomal RNA is filed under the name uncultured bacterium. RNAcentral describes it as "partial 16S ribosomal RNA". It matches the Rfam family "Archaeal small subunit ribosomal RNA", at positions 474 to 727 of the family's 1478-position model. The record is from RNAcentral.
UACCAGCACCCCGAGUGGUCGGGACGUUUAUUGGGCCUAAAGCAUCCGUAGCCGGUUCUACAAGUCUUCCGUUAAAUCCAGCUGCUUAACAGAUGGGCUGCGGAAGAUACUAUAGAGCUAGGAGGCGGGAGAGGCAAGCGGUACCCGAUGGGUAGGGGUAAAAUCCGUUGAUCCAUUGAAGACCACCAGUGGCGAAGGCGGCUUGCCAGAACGCGCUCGACGGUGAGGGAUGAAAGCUGGGGGAGCAAACCGG